RNAcentral lists this ribosomal RNA (279 nucleotides) under uncultured Rhodococcus sp. Its description in RNAcentral is "partial 16S ribosomal RNA". It matches the Rfam family "Bacterial small subunit ribosomal RNA", at positions 1105 to 1382 of the family's 1533-position model. Lineage: Bacteria; Bacillati; Actinomycetota; Actinomycetes; Mycobacteriales; Nocardiaceae. The record is from RNAcentral.
UACUCUUAUGUUGCCAGCACGUUAUGUGGGGACGUCGUAAGAGACUGCCGGGGCCAACUCGGAGGAAGGUGGGGACGACGUCAAGUCAUCAUGCCCCUUAUGUCCAGGGCUUCACACAUGCUACAAUGGCCAGUACAGAGGGCUGCGAGACCGUGAGGUGGAGCGAAUCCCUUAAAGCUGGUCUCAGUUCGGAUCGGGGUCUGCAACUCGACCCCGUGAAGUCGGAGUCGCUAGUAAUCGCAGAUCAGCAACGCUGCGGUGAAUACGUUCCCGGGCCUU